RNAcentral lists this ribosomal RNA (253 nucleotides) under uncultured prokaryote. RNAcentral's name for it is "partial 16S ribosomal RNA". It matches the Rfam family "Bacterial small subunit ribosomal RNA", at positions 524 to 776 of the family's 1533-position model. The record is from RNAcentral.
UACGGGGGGAGCAAGCGUUGUUCGGAUUUACUGGGCGUAAAGAGCGCGCAGGCGGUCGUUCAAGUCGAGUGUGAAAGCCCCCGGCUCAACUGGGGAGGGUCACUCGAUACUGAUCGACUCGAAGGCAGGAGAGGGAAGCGGAAUUCCCGGUGUAGUGGUGAAAUGCGUAGAUAUUGGGAGGAACACCGGUGGCGAAGGCGGCCCCCUGGACCGGUACUGACGCUAAAGCGCGAAAGCGUGGGUAGCAAACGGG